RNAcentral lists this ribosomal RNA (729 nucleotides) under uncultured eukaryote. Its description in RNAcentral is "SSU rRNA". It matches the Rfam family "Eukaryotic small subunit ribosomal RNA", at positions 670 to 1426 of the family's 1831-position model. The record is from RNAcentral.
CGGGUGCACUGAUCCAGCCGGGCCUUUCCCUCUGUGGAACCCCAUGGCCUUCACUGGCUGUGGUGGGGAAACAGGACUUUUACUUUGAAAAAAUUAGAGUGCUCCAGGCAGGCCUAUGCUCGAAUACAUUAGCAUGGAAUAAUAGAAUAGGACGUGUGGUUCUAUUUUGUUGGCUUCUAGGACCGCCGUAAUGAUUAAUAGGGACAGUCGGGGGCAUCAGUAUUCAAUUGUCAGAGGUGAAAUUCGUGGAUCUAUUGAAGACUAACUACUGCGAAAGCAUUUGCCAAGGAUGUUUUCAUUGAUAAGGAACGAAAGUUAGGGGAUCGAAGACGAUCAGAUACCGUCGUAGUCUUAACUAUAAACUAUGCCGACUAGGGAUCGGACGAUGUUAUUCUUUGACGCGUUCGGCACCUUUCGAGAAAUCAAAGUGCUUGGGCUCCAGGGGGAGUAUGGUCGCAAGGCUGAAACUUAAAGAAAUUGACGGAAGGGCACCACCAGGGGUGGAACCUGCGGCUUAAUUUGACUCAACACGGGGAAACUCACCAGGUCCAGACACAGUGAGGAUUGACAGAUUGAGAGCUCUUUCUUGAUUCUGUGGGUGGUGGUGCAUGGCCGUUCUUAGUUGGUGGAGUGAUUUGUCUGCUUAAUUGCGAUAACGAACGAGACCUUAACCUGCUAAAUAGCCCGUACUGCUUUGGCAGUUCGCCGGCUUCUUAGAGGGACUAUCGG